ACGACUCUCGGCAACGGAUAUCUCGGCUCUCGCAUCGAUGAAGAACGUAGCGAAAUGCGAUACCUGGUGUGAAUUGCAGAAUCCCGCGAACCAUCGAGUCUUUGAACGCAAGUUGCGCCCGAGGCCACUCAGCCGAGGGCACGCCUGCCUGGGCGUCACGC
RNAcentral lists this ribosomal RNA (161 nucleotides) under Hordeum pusillum. RNAcentral describes it as "5.8S ribosomal RNA". It matches the Rfam family "5.8S ribosomal RNA". From Rfam's summary of the family: 5.8S ribosomal RNA (5.8S rRNA) is a component of the large subunit of the eukaryotic ribosome. It is transcribed by RNA polymerase I as part of the 45S precursor that also contains 18S and 28S rRNA. Lineage: Eukaryota; Viridiplantae; Streptophyta; Magnoliopsida; Poales; Poaceae. The record is from RNAcentral.